This 254-nucleotide ribosomal RNA is filed under the name uncultured bacterium. RNAcentral describes it as "partial 16S ribosomal RNA". It matches the Rfam family "Bacterial small subunit ribosomal RNA", at positions 524 to 776 of the family's 1533-position model. The record is from RNAcentral.
GACGAACCGUGCGAACGUUAUUCGGAAUCACUGGGCUUAAAGCGCGUGUAGGCGGGACGGCACGUCUGUCGCUGAAAUCCCCCGGCUUAACCGGGGAACUGGCGUAGAUACGACCGUCCUGGAGGGGCGUAGGGGGACCUGGAACUUCCGGUGGAGCGGUGAAAUGCGUUGAGAUGUGGAGGAACACCAGUGGCGAAGGCGACUCUUUGGCCUGUAACUGACACUGAGGCGCGAAAGCGUGGGGAGCAAACAGG